GAGUUGGCUGUGUUGUGGUGAGGUAGUAAGUUGUGUUGUUGUUGGGGAUCAGUAUAGUAUGGCCCUUGAAGGAGAUAACUAUACAAUUUACUGCCUUCCAUAAUGCAGACUCUC
MicroRNA precursor from Danio rerio (zebrafish), 114 nucleotides. Ensembl annotates it as microRNA let7h. Its record names the gene dre-let-7h. NCBI's taxonomy places the organism in Eukaryota, Metazoa, Chordata, Actinopteri, Cypriniformes, Danionidae. The record is from Ensembl.